GGUCCGAUGGUGUAGUUGGUUUAUCACUUCUGUCUAACAAUUUCAGUAUUGUUCACAGGCGGUCCUCAGUUCGAACCUGGGUCGGAUCA
Non-coding RNA from Mycena polygramma, 89 nucleotides. The record is from the annotation of a GenBank genome assembly. Lineage: Eukaryota; Fungi; Basidiomycota; Agaricomycetes; Agaricales; Mycenaceae.